GACCCGGAGACGGUGUUCCCGCGGGCCCGGUCGCGACGCACGUAAAGGAAUGACUCUCGGCAACGGAUAUCUCGGCUCUUGCAUCGAUGAAGAACGUAGCGAAAUGCGAUACUUGGUGUGAAUUGCAGAAUCCCGUGAACCAUCGAGUCUUUGAACGCAAGUUGCGCCCGAAGCCAUUAGGCCGAGGGCACCCCUGCCUGGGUGUCA
RNAcentral lists this ribosomal RNA (207 nucleotides) under Lespedeza cuneata (sericea lespedeza). RNAcentral's name for it is "5.8S ribosomal RNA". The stretch from base 52 to 207 matches the Rfam family "5.8S ribosomal RNA". From Rfam's summary of the family: 5.8S ribosomal RNA (5.8S rRNA) is a component of the large subunit of the eukaryotic ribosome. It is transcribed by RNA polymerase I as part of the 45S precursor that also contains 18S and 28S rRNA. Functionally, it is thought that 5.8S rRNA may be involved in ribosome translocation. The record is from RNAcentral. Lineage: Eukaryota; Viridiplantae; Streptophyta; Magnoliopsida; Fabales; Fabaceae.